GAACGCACAUUGCGCCCGCCAGUACUCUGGCGGGCAUGCCUGUCCGAGCGUCAUUUCAACCCUCAGGGCUCUCCGGCACUGGUCGGAGGGCGCUGGUGUUGGGGAUCGGCAGUCCCAGCGGCUGCCGUCCCUGAAAUGUAGUGGCGGUCCCACCGUGACCUCCCCUGUGCAGUACAUCGCUCGCAGAGGGACAGGGGUGCGGCCACGCCGUAAAACGCCCAACUUCUCAAGGUUGACCUCGGAUCAGGUAGGACUACCCGCUGAACUUAAG
This 271-nucleotide unclassified non-coding RNA is filed under the name uncultured fungus. RNAcentral describes it as "sequence contains 5.8S rRNA gene". The stretch from base 1 to 53 matches the Rfam family "5.8S ribosomal RNA", at positions 102 to 154 of the family's 154-position model. Lineage: Eukaryota; Fungi. The record is from RNAcentral.